CUCUCCCUGCGCUGUUGGUGCAAGCCUUAGGUGUUUUGAGCCAACACCUUUUUUGAGGGAGUUCGAGUCGCGGUUGCACGCACAUGCCACUCACAUUGUUGACGUGGACUUGCAAACAGACUGCGCAGGACACCCACCUGCGAGAGCAGGUUCAAAACGGAAGGUUUCACGGCAGGUGCGGGGUAGCC
RNAcentral lists this non-coding RNA (188 nucleotides) under Paenalicyclobacillus curvatus. RNAcentral's name for it is "Alicyclobacillus curvatus 6S RNA". It matches the Rfam family "6S / SsrS RNA". From Rfam's summary of the family: E. coli 6S RNA was the first non coding RNA to be sequenced, but its function was unknown until recently. It consists of 184 nucleotides that fold into an extended hairpin structure with a large single-stranded internal bulge. The 6S RNA specifically associates with RNA polymerase holoenzyme containing the sigma70 specificity factor. Lineage: Bacteria; Bacillati; Bacillota; Bacilli; Caryophanales; Alicyclobacillaceae. The record is from RNAcentral.